RNAcentral lists this unclassified non-coding RNA (335 nucleotides) under soil metagenome. RNAcentral describes it as "partial contains 5.8S ribosomal RNA, internal transcribed spacer 2, and large subunit ribosomal RNA". The stretch from base 1 to 120 matches the Rfam family "5.8S ribosomal RNA", at positions 35 to 154 of the family's 154-position model. The record is from RNAcentral.
GAUGAAGAACGUAGUGAAAUGCGAUAAGUAAUGUGAAUUGCAGAAUUCAGUGAAUCAUCGAAUCUUUGAACGCACAUUGCGCCCGCCAGUAUUCUGGCGGGCAUGCCUGUUCGAGCGUCAUUUCAACCAUCAAGCCCCCGGCUUGUGUUGGGGACCUGCGGCUGCCGCAGGCCCUGAAAACCAGUGGCGGGCUCGCUAGUCACUCCGAGCGUAGUAAUACAUCUCGCUCAGGGCGUGCUGCGGGUUCCGGCCGUUAAAAAGCCUUAUUUACCCAAGGUUGACCUCGGAUCAGGUAGGAAUACCCGCUGAACUUAAGCAUAUCAAUAAGCGGAGGA